Molecule: transfer RNA, 73 nt
Filed under: Camelus bactrianus (Bactrian camel)
Lineage: Eukaryota; Metazoa; Chordata; Mammalia; Artiodactyla; Camelidae
Also listed under: 2 other names
Rfam family: tRNA
About the family: Transfer RNA (tRNA) molecules are approximately 80 nucleotides in length. Their secondary structure includes four short double-helical elements and three loops (D, anti-codon, and T loops).
Source: Rfam by way of RNAcentral
GAGGGUACAGCUCAAGUGGUAGAGCCCAUGCUUAGCAUGCACGAGGUCCUGGGUUCAAUCCCCAGUACCUCCA